CAUACACAAACCAUAGUACUCCCUGCAAUUAUACUAAGAGGUGGGGACCUUCAGAGGUGAUUAACUCAUUAGAUGUCUUCCCUCAUGAGUGAGAUUAGUGUUUCUCUAAAAGAGGUUUGAAGGAACUUAUUUUGCCUUUUUACUAUGCAAGAUCAUAUAGAAGGGGCAAUCUAUGAGGAACAGGGGCGCACCAGACACCAAAUCUGGCACCUUGAUCUUGGAAUUCUCAGCCCCCAGCACUUCACUGUAACUUUAUUUUAGAGUCCUGCACUGCCCUGCCUAGGCUCUCCAGGGCCAUGGUGAGGAAAGCUCUUAAAAGGAAAAACAAAAGCUGAAUGACUUUGUUACCAGAUAGCAGCAUUUAACUAUGAGAAAAUAAGAAAAAACAAACAUGGAAAAUGAUCCAAGUGGAAACACAGAUUUUGAGAAAAACAAUCCCUUCAUGGAGGAAGGUCCCCGAAGUCUCUGCCCUGGUCCAAAGAAUACCCAGAAAGGUUUUCCUUUCUCUGGAGAGAUCCAGGCAUGGACAUUGAGAAUGCUGAUUAGGACUUGCUCCCUCCCCUCCACAACAGCAGUCAGUUCUUUAUUGAGUGAAAUGGAAAGGUGGCACUGUCUUCUUCAUCCUUGGAGCCUAAAAGAAGGAGAUGAGAUGAACAGGGAGAAAGCACAAAGACAGGCCCUCCAGCAUGGCUUCCUUUAGUGGUCAGUGCUAACCCACCAUGGAUCAGGACUUCCAGCACCUGGAGUCAAGAAACCUGGAAAACAACAACUUAGGGAAGACAAAGAGAAGAGCUCCGGGAAUUAAAAAAGAGCAGACAGAAAAGCUAGAAAUCACAGAGAAGUUGGAGAAACUGAAGAUAACACAGAGAAAAGAUUAAAGUAGUCUGAAACAUCCGUCCCACCUCCUGGGGGUGUGGGGCUGUCUUUAUAAACAGAAGGUAAGCCCAGGAAGAGUUGGCAGCCCCAGCAAUAAAUAACAGACUGGCAGUGUUAGCCCCCAGAGAAGCCCACAGUAAGCUGCAAAUACAGGGUGGGUCUUACUCUGAAAGUGGCUCCUUCCACAUGGCACUCUAGAGUUGGAAAAGAAAUACAGUACAACACCCACUAUAUUUGGGAAAAUGUGGUAUAUAUACACAAUGGAGUACUACUCAGCCACAAAGAAAAAUAAAUGCCAAUCACUUGUAGAAAAAUGCAUGUACCUUGAGACCAUAGCGCUAAGUGAAAUAAAUUAGACACCAAAGGUUAAAUGGCAUAUGUUUUUUAUAUGAGAAAUCCAAAGUAUAAAUAAUUGAAAUAUCAAAAUAAAAGGUAGAUGAUAGUAAACAGAGAGAUAGACUUUGUG
This is a long non-coding RNA of Heterocephalus glaber (naked mole-rat), 1342 nucleotides long. NCBI's taxonomy places the organism in Eukaryota, Metazoa, Chordata, Mammalia, Rodentia, Bathyergidae. The record is from Ensembl.